Long non-coding RNA from Lolium perenne, 1007 nucleotides. RefSeq lists it as uncharacterized. The record is from RefSeq and is a predicted model, not a curated record. NCBI's taxonomy places the organism in Eukaryota, Viridiplantae, Streptophyta, Magnoliopsida, Poales, Poaceae.
AAUCCUGAGAGUUCACGAUUGAUAAUCUGACCCCAAACCCAAGCCUGACUGCAAAGUCUCCCCGAUAACCACGACAUCCUCCCCGUUUCCUGAAUCCAACUCAACCCGCUCGAGGCAAAGACGGCAGGGACUCAUGGUCUCUAACACGGCAAUAUAUAUCGGGACUCGCCCGAUCCAGGAGAGGCGCUGCCAAGCUGACGGACGCGUUCAUGUGAUCUUCCGUGCUGCGCCGACGAAGUGUUGCUCGCCGACAGAAGGAUGACUUUCGACACCCCGGCGAUCGACCACCUCUCGUCCAAUUGGCCGCCGCGUGCGCAGAUUGAGAAGGCUCAACAAAUAUUCUUUUUCUUAUCCAACGAGAACAUGUGAGUCGCUGCCUCCACCCUGCCGCUACGCGGGAGCAGCCGCCGGGUCUGCCGUCCAUCAGCUGCUCUACAUCCGCCAUCAAGUCCCAUCCCCGGUUUCCCACCACCGUGCCACAGCAGGCGUCCGCCGCUGUCGCGGCCAUGGGGAAGCUCAAGUCGGGGCCAGGUACUUCGAGAUUUUCCUCUGCGACGAGUUCGACGCGCCGUGGACCCGUGGUUCGACCUUGCCUGGAGGAAGCGACGGUGGAGGCCACCGCAACAACCGCACCCUCCUACGUCUGCAUAACCGAGGACGCAGAUGACGAUGGUGGAGAAACGGUGCCUAUCCUUCGUCCCUUAACCGUAUUAGGGAUGAGAGGACCUGCUAUUAUCCUGAGAAGCACGAGUUCACUGGAGCAAUGCUUUGAUCCUUGAAGAACUCAUCAGUGGACAAGAGGUUUCUUCCCUAAAGGUUCAGGUCGCUUGUGACCUGAAUAAUUUGCUUCUCCUUCUUGCUUCUGCCAUGUAAGAGUAAAUUUACUCUAUCUUUAUCUGGUUCAGCUCUCUAUUCAGUGUUCAUAUUUGUGUUAGCGGUAGAAUUUUAUAUUUUGUAUGCAUCAUUGCAUUUGCAGAUGAUUAAGAGAUUUGGCUUUCAGCUAUAUA